GCUCCACACAAACUAGUGGCCUUUGGCCACUGCUUUGCUCUUUUGACACAACAUACUCACUAUUUUCAGAAACUGUGGCUCCAGGUUGGCUUUUCUUGCCUGCUGAAAUUUGCAAAGUGCAGGCAUUUCUGUCUUCAUGCCGAUUUCAGAGAGGGCAACAACAACGCCAUCAUCGUCAUAUUACUCGUUGGAGUUGGAUCCACUGUUGAGUGAUCUCGCAGAGAAGAAGCUUAGCCUGAGGAGAAGCUUGGCUUGGCUGGAUGCAGAGCUCAAGGAUGCCAAGAUCAAGCUUGCUUCCAAGGAACAGUUGCUUGCUCAGGAAUCAGAAAACAGGAAGAAGUUUGCUGAGUCGAGGGCGAGAAGCAUGGAGGAGGAGGUGAAGAAGCUGCAUAAAUGUUUACAGGACAAGGAUGAGCAGCUGCGAACAUCAAUAUGUAGCACUGAACAGUAUUUGUCUUCCUACAAAUUGGAUAUUCUUAGAUCACAGAUUUCAGUGGCACAAGCCACUGCAGAAGCCAGUGCAGAAUCAGCCAUGUUGGCACGGUUGCAGUGCUUGUCCCUGUCAGGAGGGCAUGAGAAGAUCAAUUCUUUGGGUGAAUGCGAGCUUCGAGUGAAGAAGGUAGAGGAGCAGCUAGAUCUUGUUCAGAAGUUCCUUGAAGCGAAAGAGCUCUCGCAGUUGGAGAAGAAUCAAAUGACAACGGUUCAUGAGCUGAAGAAGAAGGUACUGAAACUUGAAUGCACCCUCAAAGUAUCAAGAGCUCAGCUGCGAAAACUACAUAAGAUGGUAGAGCGAAGAGAUAAACCUCUCAAAAAACUACAAAGCCGAUUGCCGCUGAAGCAGCAGACCGCCUGCGACAAGCAGAAGUUGUGGGAGAGCUCAGGCUUCAGGAUCAUAGCCUCCAUGUCAAUAUUGGCCCUGGCUAUGCUGUCGAAGCGAUGAACUGAACAAGUGAUGAUUGACGUCGUCGUGUAUCAGUUGUCUAUGGCAGACGCAAAUGUUCCUGUAUUGGUGUCAGGGUUAUGAGAUAGUUGAUGACUUCAGCGUGGUGGAAACUUAAACCAAUGCACUAAAUGAACUUGGGGAAGAAGAUCGUGGCCAGCGGCGGCUAAGGUGCGCCAUUUUCAUUUCUGAAUCGGCCAUUUAUUGUGCUGAUGCUGAUGAUGAGAUUGGGUUUGAAUUUGAUGGACAGAGAGCCUCCAGGUUUGGCUGAUAAAGAUGUAGAAAAAUAAACAUGGUAAAAAAUUAAAUUUUAGAA
RNA transcript from Oryza sativa Japonica Group (Japanese rice), 1256 nucleotides. It is a transcript of the gene named nuclear envelope-associated protein 3, with no coding region annotated. NCBI's taxonomy places the organism in Eukaryota, Viridiplantae, Streptophyta, Magnoliopsida, Poales, Poaceae. The record is from RefSeq and is a predicted model, not a curated record.